AUUGUUUAAUCACCGGAUUAAGCAAAUAGAAGUGUCUAAAACAUAUUCCGUAGGUCUUAGAAGGAAUGUGAUUUUAGGCACUUUUUUGU
This 89-nucleotide non-coding RNA is filed under the name unclassified sequences. The record is from RNAcentral.